This 550-nucleotide ribosomal RNA is filed under the name uncultured bacterium. Its description in RNAcentral is "partial 16S ribosomal RNA". It matches the Rfam family "Bacterial small subunit ribosomal RNA", at positions 355 to 920 of the family's 1533-position model. The record is from RNAcentral.
UGGGGAAUAUUGCACAAUGGGCGAAAGCCUGAUGCAGCAACGCCGCGUGAGUGAUGAAGGCCUUCGGGUUGUAAAAGCUCUGUCUUUUGGGACGAUAAUGACGGUACCAAAGGAGGAAGCCACGGCUAACUACGUGCCAGCAGCCGCGGUAAUACGUAGGUGGCAAGCGUUGUCCGGAUUUACUGGGCGUAAAGGAUGCGUAGGCGGAUUUUUAAGUGAGAUGUGAAAUACCGGGCUUAACUUGGGUGCUGCAUUUCAAACUGGGAAUCUAGAGUGCGGGAGAGGAGAAUGGAAUUCCUAGUGUAGCGGUGAAAAUGCGUAGAGAUUAGGAAGAACACCAGUGGCGAAGGCGAUUCUCUGGACCGUAACUGACGCUGAGGCAUGAAAGCGUGGGUAGCAAACAGGAUUAGAUACCCUGGUAGUCCACGCCGUAAACGAUGAGUACUAGGUGUAGGAGGUAUCGACCCCUUCUGUGCCGCAGUUAACACAAUAAGUACUCCGCCUGGGAAGUACGAUCGCAAGAUUAAAACUCAAAGGAAUUGACGGGGUC